This 331-nucleotide long non-coding RNA is filed under the name Pan troglodytes (chimpanzee). RNAcentral describes it as "long non-coding RNA NONPTRT018582". Lineage: Eukaryota; Metazoa; Chordata; Mammalia; Primates; Hominidae. The record is from RNAcentral.
CCUCCCUCAAACCCUCUGGUUUGGGAGUAGAGAAUGCUUACGCUUGAAAAUCUUCUGUUUGGAGACUCAGCAGCCCCUUGAAGACAGUUUCAUUUGUCCCAGCUUUUGGAGAAAAUGAGGCUCAGAGGAAAUGAGAUCUCUACCCCAGAUGUCCAGCUCGCCGCUGUCCAAGAAACGUCGCGUGUCCGGGCCUGAUCCAAAGCCGGGUUCUAACUGCUCCCCUGCCCAGUCCGUGUUGUCCGAAGUGCCCUCGGUGCCAACCAACGGAAUGGCCAAGAACGGCAGUGAAGCAGACAUAGACGAGGGCCUUUACUCCCGGCAGCUGUAAGUG